Molecule: ribosomal RNA, 114 nt
Filed under: Mycobacteroides franklinii
Lineage: Bacteria; Bacillati; Actinomycetota; Actinomycetes; Mycobacteriales; Mycobacteriaceae
Description: partial 23S ribosomal RNA
Rfam family: Bacterial large subunit ribosomal RNA
Source: RNAcentral
UUGUAAGUGUGUNAGGGCGCAUGGUGGAUGCCUUGGCAUUNGGGGCCGAUGAAGGACGUGGGAGGCUGCGAUAUGCCUCGGGGAGCUGUCAACCGAGCGUGGAUCCGAGGAUGU